GACGUAGGUGGCGAACGUUAUCCGGAAUUAUUGGGCGUAAAGGGUGCGUAGAUGGCUUGAUAAGUUAGCAGUGGGAAAUCGAGGCUCAACCUCGUGGAAGCUGGUAAUACUGUCAGGCUCGAGUGCAGGAGAGGUUAACGGAACUCCAUGUGGAGCGGUAAAAUGUGUAGAGAUCCGGAGGAACACCAAAGGCGAAGGCAGUGUCCUGGGGAGUACCUGACGCUCAGGUGCGAAAGCCAGGGGAGCGAACGGG
Molecule: ribosomal RNA, 253 nt
Filed under: uncultured bacterium
Lineage: Bacteria
Description: partial 16S ribosomal RNA
Rfam family: Bacterial small subunit ribosomal RNA
Source: RNAcentral